GAAAUGCGAUAAGUAAUGUGAAUUGCAGAAUUCAGUGAAUCAUCGAAUCUUUGAACGCACAUUGCGCCCGCCAGUAUUCUGGCGGGCAUGCCUGUUCGAGCGUCAUUUCAACCCUCAAGCCCCCGGGCUUGGUGUUGGAGAUCGGCGUGCCCCCCGGGGCGCGCCGGCUCCCAAAUAUAGUGGCGGUCUCGCUGUAGCUUCCUCUGCGUAGUAGCACACCUCGCACUGGAAAACAGCGUGGCCACGCCGUUAAACCCCCCACUUCUGAAAGGUUGACCUCGGAUCAGGUAGGAAUACCCGCUGAACUUAA
RNAcentral lists this unclassified non-coding RNA (310 nucleotides) under fungal sp. RNAcentral's name for it is "partial contains 5.8S ribosomal RNA, internal transcribed spacer 2, and large subunit ribosomal RNA". The stretch from base 1 to 105 matches the Rfam family "5.8S ribosomal RNA", at positions 50 to 154 of the family's 154-position model. Lineage: Eukaryota; Fungi. The record is from RNAcentral. RNAcentral also lists the same sequence under 2 other names.